Molecule: small nuclear RNA, 95 nt
Filed under: Castor canadensis (American beaver)
Lineage: Eukaryota; Metazoa; Chordata; Mammalia; Rodentia; Castoridae
Source: RNAcentral
GGGCAAAAAACAGUGCUCACUUCGGCAGAGAAGAUUAAUUAGCAUAGCCCCUGUGCAAGGAUGACACACAAAUUUGUGAAGCAUUCCAUAUUUAA